This 421-nucleotide ribosomal RNA is filed under the name uncultured bacterium. Its description in RNAcentral is "bacterial SSU rRNA". It matches the Rfam family "Bacterial small subunit ribosomal RNA", at positions 355 to 774 of the family's 1533-position model. The record is from RNAcentral.
UAAGGAAUAUUGGUCAAUGGACGCAAGUCUGAACCAGCCAUGCCGCGUGAAGGAUGAAGGUCCUCUGGAUUGUAAACUUCUUUUAUCUGGGACGAAAACGGGAUUUUUAUCUCAAUUGACGGUACCAGAGGAAUAAGCACCGGCUAACUCCGUGCCAGCAGCCGCGGUAAUACGGAGGGUGCGAGCGUUAUCCGGAUUUACUGGGUUUAAAGGGUGCGUAGGUGGGCUUAUAAGUCAGUGGUGAAAUCUCCGAGCUUAACUUGGAAACUGCCGUUGAUACUAUAGGUCUUGAAUUAUCUGGAGGUAAGCGGAAUAUGUCAUGUAGCGGUGAAAUGCUUAGAUAUUACAUAGAACACCAAUUGCGAAGGCAGCUUACUACAUAUAAAUUGACGCUGAGGCACGAAAGCGUGGGGAUCAAACA